GAUGAACGCUGGCGGCGUGCCUAAUACAUGCAAGUCGAGCGAACGGACGAGAAGCUUGCUUCUCUGAUGUUAGCGGCGGACGGGUGAGUAACACGUGGAUAACCUACCUAUAAGACUGGGAUAACUUCGGGAAACCGGAGCUAAUACCGGAUGAUAUUUUGAACCGCAUGGUUCAAAAGUGAAAGACGGUCUUGCUGUCACUUAUAGAUGGAUCCGCGCUGCAUUAGCUAGUUGGUAAGGUAACGGCUUACCAAGGCAACGAUGCAUAGCCGACCUGAGAGGGUGAUCGGCCACACUGGAACUGAGACACGGUCCAGACGCCUACGGGAGGCAGCAGUAGGGAAUCUUCCGCAAUGGGCGAAAGCAUGACGGAACAACGCCGCGUGAGUGAUGAAGGUCUUCGGAUCGUAAAACUCUGUUAUUAGGGAAGAACAUAUGUGUAAGUAACUGUGCACAUCUUGACGGUACCUAAUCAGAAAGCAACGGCUAACUACGUG
This 497-nucleotide ribosomal RNA is filed under the name uncultured bacterium. RNAcentral describes it as "partial 16S ribosomal RNA". It matches the Rfam family "Bacterial small subunit ribosomal RNA", at positions 28 to 507 of the family's 1533-position model. The record is from RNAcentral.